AAAUGCGAUAAGUAAUGUGAAUUGCAGAAUUCAGUGAAUCAUCGAGUCUUUGAACGCACAUUGCGCCCCCUGGCAUUCCGGGGGGCAUGCCUGUCCGAGCGUCAUUGCUGCCCUUCAAGCCCGGCUUGUGUGUUGGGUCGUCGUCCCCUCCGGGGGACGGGCCCGAAAGGCAGCGGCGGCACCGCGUCCGGUCCUCGAGCGUAUGGGGCUUUGUCACCCGCUCGAUAAGGACCGGCCGGGCGCCAGCCGGCGUCUCCAACCUUUUUUUCUCAGGUUGACCUCGGAUCAGGUAGGGAUACCCGCUGAACUUAAGC
This 314-nucleotide unclassified non-coding RNA is filed under the name plant metagenome. RNAcentral's name for it is "partial contains 5.8S ribosomal RNA, internal transcribed spacer 2, and large subunit ribosomal RNA". The stretch from base 1 to 104 matches the Rfam family "5.8S ribosomal RNA", at positions 51 to 154 of the family's 154-position model. The record is from RNAcentral.